Molecule: transfer RNA, 65 nt
Filed under: pig gut metagenome
Rfam family: tRNA
About the family: Transfer RNA (tRNA) molecules are approximately 80 nucleotides in length. Their secondary structure includes four short double-helical elements and three loops (D, anti-codon, and T loops).
Source: RNAcentral
ACUGUGGCUCAGUCGGUAGAGCAGCUGAUUCGUAAUCAGCAGGUCACCAGUUCGAAUCUGGUCAG